This 891-nucleotide ribosomal RNA is filed under the name Triticum aestivum (bread wheat). Its description in RNAcentral is "partial small subunit ribosomal RNA". The record is from RNAcentral. Lineage: Eukaryota; Viridiplantae; Streptophyta; Magnoliopsida; Poales; Poaceae.
AUGGUGUCACAGGUCGUGGUCGCCCUCUACGUCUUUUGCAAGUCAUGGCCUGUCGGGCAGAAGAGGUUACUGCAGGCCGCGAUCUUGUUGUUCGUCGUCGGCAUUUUUAGAUCCAUCCAGAAGCCAUUGGCUAUGAAGAGCGCCAGUAUUAGUAACAUAGUCUCUUCUUUGUCACUAUCCCCGAGGGAGCAAAACGAGCUCGCAUGGGUCUGCGAAAAAUUAUGCUAUUGCUCAUUCCCGGGAAUUUUAUACAUAACUACAGAAGAAGAAAGAGCUAAACAGGAGGACAUCUCGCUUGAAGAAUUUGUACAAGAAGCAAUCAGGAGUUUGCCAGAGUUGGCCAGUGAUCAAGACCAAGCUGAACUCAUAGCAUCAUGUGAUCCGUGGGCGGUUAAUGUCUCCCAGCCGCUGGUAGACAUAUCAGCUCUAUACUCUGACCGGAUAAAAAACCUACAACAUUUUAUGGCCCUUGAUUACCAACAUGCCCAUAGUAUGUCGAGAGAACAGCUUACUGAGUUGUUUUUGUUCCUCUACACAAAACUACCUAACAUAGUGGUUUGCUUUUUCUGUUGUCAUCUUUGGCUUCCAUUCUUGACCUUAGCUUCUGCCGUCCUCUUCUCCACAUACCACAAAUAUCAUGAAUACAACGCAACAGAUGUCAAGGUAACUUACAUCUUGUUUUGGUCGACCGCGUUGCUGGAUUUCCUAUUCCUCUUCAUCAGUGUUUUCAUCAUGGAGAUGGAAACAGAAAAGGUUUCGCAACAUAACCUCUUGUCAUUUUGUGCUCGUAAGAAGCGACCCACUUUUCUUAUGAAGCUUGCCACACUUGUCUGCUACAAAGACUAUGUUAACAUGCAUUGUUAUAUAGAACAUGCACCAACAACGUCCUAA